Pelobates cultripes (western spadefoot toad) is the source of this 414-nucleotide non-coding RNA. The record is from the annotation of a GenBank genome assembly. Lineage: Eukaryota; Metazoa; Chordata; Amphibia; Anura; Pelobatidae.
AUUCCGGCGGGAGCGGUCCUCCAUAUCGGCCAUCUUGUGCCAAAGUUUGGUAUUAUCCUCCUCCAGCUUUUUCAGUUUGUCUGCCAUCAGGUUAUGAGCUGAGCAGAGAUCAUCUGUCUUGCGUUCGACCUGAUCGGUCCGGUCACCCAACUCCUCCAGUUCUUGGUGAAUACCCGCCAUGGCAGUCGUGAAGUCCUCUCUGAUUGUGGACCUAAGGUCCAUGAGCAUUUGCUUGAGGUAUUCUUUUGAGAAUUGGUUAUCAUCCGAUGUUGGUUGUGAGGGUGUCUCGUUGCAGGGAUCAGAGUCUGGAGACUGAGCUCUGCUGGCGGCGCCAUCUUGGGCCUGUUUCAGCCUAUCCCUUUUGUGGUGGCGGACCGCGUCCGUUAACUUCGUCUGUUUCGAGGGGGACAUGAG